GGACGGAGGCGGAGGCGGGGUCGGGGGCCUGGGGGAGUGGUCUGGCCUUGGGGUGGGGCGGGCGCCGCGGGCCUGACCUGAGGUCCUUACCCGAGCGAGGCGACCGUGCGGCAGAGGUGCAGAGGCGCCAGGCCCUCUGCGCUGAGCAGGUCGGGGUCGGCGCGGUGCUGCAGCAGCAGGCGGGCGCAGGCGGUGUGGCCCCCGAGGCAGGCCUCGUGCAGGGCGCCGCGGCCGCCGGGGCUGGCGUCGGGGUCUGCGCCGCGGCCGAGCAGGUAUCGCACGCAGGCGGCGUGGCCGUGGGCCGCGGCGAUGCACAGGGGCGUGACCAUGAAGUGAAUUUAGGAAAAGGAAGGCAAGAAUCUCCAAGCAGGAGAGGAGGCCCGGCUUGUGUCUGGCUAACUGAGUGAAUAGACCGAAUUUCUCUAAUAUUUGCCAGGGUUGUAGGUCAGAAACCGGGAACGGGCCUCACUGGGUGACAAUCGAGGUGUCUGCAGUGCCGUGUCCCUUUCUGGAGGCUCCAGAGCUCGGAUCUCUGGCUUUCCUGACCUUCCCCUGGGGAAGCUGAGGGGGGCUGCUGGUCGCGGGACCCCUGGUGACCAUGUUCAGGUCUGACCACAGAGAAGACAGGCAUGGAAACUGAGGCAGUGUCACGUGGAAGCUGCUUUGUCCAGGAGGGAUGAAAGGGACAGAGGUUGCUUCUCUUGGAGAAGAGAAGACUGGAGGCAGGUAAGUUUGCUGUUUUCAAAUGCGUGAAAGACUGCCAUGGGGAAGAAAGGUUUUGCUAAGUUUGGCCCUGAAUGUAGAAUGAAGGCUGUUCUUUCAUUUCUUCCUUUAUAAGACGUUUACAGAAGAGCUUUGAUGUGCCAGGCACUGUGCUAGGUGCCAAGGUCACAAAGAGUAAUAAUGCAGGGUCCCUGACCUCCAGGAGCCCACCUGUGGUAGGAGAGAGCAGACCUGAGGUUGAGGGUGUUCCAAGGAAAUCAGGAUGUCAGUGAGGGCCACCAACGACAGAAAGGGGGAGAAGUGGGCAGGUGGGGGGAACUAGGAAUGGAGACCACAGAUAGCGGUUAAAGCAGACAGGCCUUCCAAGGUCUCCAGAAGAUCAGAUGGUCUGAAGUGGGGGGAAGCGCCCUGCUCAGGCCAGGAGUCAGGGCACAGGGUGAGGUGUCCUCACUUGGGGCACACGGGGAGUGCCUGGCACUUCUGGAAGGGGUCAGAAAAGUGCGUGGCCACGCUACAGAGGUUGCUUGUAUCCUAGAGGCUGUGGAAGGCAUGGAAAAGACUUAAAUCAAGAACUUUGAUCCUUUUUAUGUUACAGAAAAAUCCCUCUGGGGAGUGUGUAGAGGAGGAUGUGGUGGGAGCUGUGCCGGCCUCGGGGAGCAGGCAGGUGUGGGCGGUGGCACAGUGAGGACAAGGCCCAGGCAGGGAGGUGCUGCGGGGCUGCUGCAGGGAGAAGAUGAGAGUAUGCAGCAGGGGAUAGGCAGGGCGGGAUGGGGAGGGCAGGACUGGCCAGACUCGAUAACAGUGGGUUGUGGGUUGCGGGAGGGGGCUCGAUGCUAGAUGUGCAGAGGAUGGUAAUGAGGUCAGUGUCGGCUGCCAUGAGCCCCCGCACAGUGGGGCAGGCAGGGAGGGCUGCUGGGGCCAGAGAGGAGGAGAGAGGCAAGGGCCGGAAAGGCCUCCAAGGCCACAGCAAACCACCAGCAGUGGACGCCUCGAGUGGAUGGAAGGAAUUCCCGAGUAAAGGGGGACAGUGGAUGAGGCCAGGAGAGGGUGGCAGAGAGCCCAGGGCCACACAGGGAAGACGAUGAUAGAGGAGGAGGUCUGGGCUGCCAAGGGGCAGCAGCUAUGGAGAGAAGGGACGGGUCUGGAGGGAUAGCCAGCCUCGAAACCAGGGGGCCAACAAGCGGGGGAGGGGGGCGGCCAACGGUGGCCCAUGCUGGCCAGAGAGUUUGGUAAUGAGGAGGUCACUUGUGGCCUUGGCAGGGAGUGGAGGGAACAGAGCCAGGUGACAGGGAGAGCUCCUGCAGAAAGACGGGCAGACAGUAAGCCUGGGGAGGAUGUGGCACUGGAGUAGUCAGUGCCCAGGAAAUGUUUGCGGAUAGCAUGGGCUAGGGACAGAAGGCAGGAGGAUGGGCUGGGAGGAGAAGGGCUCAUCUUCCUUGCACCACAGACACCAGAGGGCAGGGUGGCUGCUGCUGCAGAAAGUGUGCAGGCCACACAAGAAAUGUUUGCAGGCACCUCUGCUGGGAAUAAGAUCUGCUCUUACAGUUUGCGGAAAAGCAGUGUUCUUUAGUAAAAAUCUCAGAAUAUACAGAAUGGCAUAAACAACACCUUUUCUCCCUCCACCUAGAAUCAACCGUCGAACAUUUCCUGUCCUUACAGAUCCUUUACGAAAAUGGGAUCUUGUUCAACACAUACUGCUUUAUGGGCUGCUUUGUUCAUGUCAUAUGAAAGUUAUUUCUCCAUUAUCAAUUUUAACAGGAAGCACCAGGUUUAGGGUUCUAAUUAAUCCCCUGUUUUUGAAUGUAUAGAUGGUUUCCAUCUUUUACUACUCCAAAUAGUAUUUAUUUAGGGCACCUGGCUGAGAAUUUCCUUAGAAUGACUGCCAGGAGAGGCUUCCAGCUGGAGGCGCCCGGACGUUCUGUGCGUGUCGUUUUUGCGUGUGCUGCCGCAGUGCCCUCCUGGGGUUCCAUCUGUUUACACUGUCCCCAGGAAUAAAUGAGGGCUCUGGCUUUCCACACUCUUCUCCUCAACAAGGAUUAAUAAUAAAAAACUCUCUGCCAAUUUGCUAAUGAAAAAUGGUAUCCUUUGCUUUUCUAAUUUUCAUUUAGCUAUGAAAAGGCUUCAUUGAAAUUACCCACAGAUAGUUUGAGGUCAUGGACAAUUACAUUAAUUAAUUCAUAAUUGAACUUUCCAGAGUUCUGUUGGAUAGUUCCCUUCGCCUGCCAGUAGAGGGCUCUUCGCUCCUAUCAAAUAUCACUAGAGGGUUUUUGUUUUGUGUCAAUUAUGAAAUAAAGACAAAUCGCCACCGUGUGCUUUUUCAAAUGCUAGCAAGUUCUAGCAAAGAACUAAAGACCUCUCCAUCCACAUGCAUUUUAUGGGACUGAUCUUUUGUAUUUUCCAAAGAAACACUGUCAAACCUUCACCAUCAGAAUUAGAUUCUCAGGGGAUAAUGCUCAACAAUUAAAACCUGUUUGUGUUUCGGCACGCAUGAGUUAUGAAGAUGCUCUGCCCAGAUGACCCCUGGACAUUUUGGAGGUUCUCUCUGAAAGAAUCCUAUUUUGCUUGCCAAGGAGAACUGCAGGAAUAAAACAGCUACUUGUUUUUUUCAGCUGCUGUGUCUCAGCUGAAACUCAUUCACUCAUUCAUUCAUCCCACACGUAUUUACGGUGCAUCUGAGAGCUCUGUGGUAGGAGGCAGGGGUGUCUGGGAGUUGGGAGACAUGGUCCCUGCCUGUAGAGGGUGCAGCUGCCUGUGUCUGAAUGGGCGACGCUGAGUGAGGUGCUGCGGGGUUAGGGAGGGUACGGGGGAGUGAGGCCUAUUUGCAGGGGGAGAGGGUUCACUUUCCCAUACUGUGGUCACUUGGAUUCUGUUUAAAUAGUUCAUAUGACACUUUGGCCUGCAUUUCCACUAUUGAAAAAUUAUAUUUUAAGUUUCUAUUUCCUUGUAAUACCUUUUAUGUACUUGCAGAGGUUACUUCAAGUCCUCACUGCAAUUAGCUGGACAUAAACCAUAAAUGAUCAUCAAAAGAAGGGCAGAGGAACUGAAAGCUGCUCUGAAAAAUAAAGUCUAUGUAAAGAACAAAAGGUUCUGAAGCCUAUGUGCACGCCCCUCCUCAGCCUGCAGCUGCCUCCACACACAGUGGAAGCGGAGUCUGGCCUCUUCACGGAUGACCCGCUCAAGACUCAGGGCAUUGGCCUCCCACCAUGUCCACACCUGAGGCUGCACCGGAGUCGCUAAAUCCUGCGUCCCUUUCCCCCUGUCCUUGCUCCUCUCUUUUCUCUCCCCCUCCUUUUUGAUCAGCCCUGUUUUGGUGGCCAGGUGUAGGCCUUGCAUUAUCCUUACUGAUAUCCACCUUGUAAAACGAGACUAACAUAUUUAUUACACUAAUUGUACAUCUGUGUGUGUGUGUGUGUGUGUGUUUUUUUAAAUACAAUCAUCCACAAAUAGCA
Molecule: non-coding RNA, 4172 nt
Organism: Macaca mulatta (Rhesus monkey)
Lineage: Eukaryota; Metazoa; Chordata; Mammalia; Primates; Cercopithecidae
Source: RefSeq, a predicted model, not a curated record